CCAACAGCUCUGGAGACUGAAGUUCUCUACUUGUCCAAGUACAGCAUGCUUUCUCAUAGUGUUCCACCAAUAUGCAUUGGCCUCCAGGGACCUCUUCUGGAGAGAAAGUGAAUACUAAAGUCUUCAUGGCCCAUUCUGUCCUUGGCCUCC
RNAcentral lists this small RNA (150 nucleotides) under Chelonoidis abingdonii (Abingdon island giant tortoise). RNAcentral's name for it is "TUC338 (ENSCABG00000022487.1)". The record is from RNAcentral. Lineage: Eukaryota; Metazoa; Chordata; Testudines; Testudinidae.